AUUAGCUAGUAGGUAGGGUAAAGGCCUACCUAGGCGACGAUCAGUAGCUGGUCUGAGAGGACGACCAGCCACACUGGAACUGAGACACGGUCCAGACUCCUACGGGAGGCAGCAGUGGGGAAUUUUGGACAAUGGGCGCAAGCCUGAUCCAGCAAUGCCGCGUGAGUGAAGAAGGCCUUCGGGUUGUAAAGCUCUUUUGUCAGGGAAGAAACGGCUGGGGCUAAUAUCCCCGGCUAAUGACGGUACCUGAAGAAUAAGCACCGGCUAACUACGUGCCAGCAGCCGCGGUAAUACGUAGGGUGCAAGCGUUAAUCGGAAUUACUGGGCGUAAAGCGUGCGCAGGCGGUUUUGUAAGUCUGAUGUGAAAGCCCCGGGCUCAACCUGGGAAUUGCAUUGGAGACUGCAAGGCUUGAAUCUGGCAGAGGGGGGUAGAAUUCCACGUGUAGCAGUGAAAUGCGUAGAGAUGUGGAGGAACACCGAUGGCGAAGGCAGCCCCCUGGGUCAAGAUUGACGCUCAUGCACGAAAGCGUGGGAAGCAAACAGGAUUAGAUACCCUGGUAGUCCACGCCCUAAACGAUGUCUACUAGUUGUCGGGUUUUAAUUAACUUGGUAACGCAGCUAACGCGUGAAGUAGACCGCCUGGGGAGUACGGUCGCAAGAUUAAAACUCAAAGGAAUUGACGGGGACCCGCACAAGCGGUGGAUGGUGUGGAUUAAUUCGAUGCAACGCGAAAAACCUUACCUACCCUUGACAUGGAAGGAAUCCCGAAGAGAUUUGGGAGUGCCCGAAAGGGAACCUUCACACAGGUGCUGCAUGGCUGUCGUCAGCUCGUGUCGUGAGAUGUUGGGUUAAGUCCCGCAACGAGCGCAACCCUUGUCAUUAGUUGCUACAUUCAGUUGGGCACUCUAAUGAGACUGCCGGUGACAAACCGGAGGAAGGUGGGGAUGACGUCAAGUCCUCAUGGCCCUUAUGGGUAGGGCUUCACACGUCAUACAAUGGUACAUA
Molecule: ribosomal RNA, 1005 nt
Filed under: uncultured Oxalobacteraceae bacterium
Lineage: Bacteria; Pseudomonadati; Pseudomonadota; Betaproteobacteria; Burkholderiales; Oxalobacteraceae
Description: bacterial SSU rRNA
Rfam family: Bacterial small subunit ribosomal RNA
Source: RNAcentral